This 387-nucleotide long non-coding RNA is filed under the name Naja naja (Indian cobra). RNAcentral describes it as "lncRNA (ENSNNAG00000015108.1)". Lineage: Eukaryota; Metazoa; Chordata; Lepidosauria; Squamata; Elapidae. The record is from RNAcentral.
CGUGUCCAGUAUUGGUCGUGGAGUUUUGUCGCUGUGUGCAUCUCUGCAUCAUUAGACGGAAUACAAACUGCAGGCAUCCUGGACCAGUAUAUACCUAUAUGCAGUAUGCCCUCUGCUUACAGCCAGUCACAAUGUCAUCUACAGUUUGGCAGGGGACCCUGCAGUCACAUUGAGGGGAGGAUACUAUGCCCCAUUUGUGCAGAUGCCAUAUGUUCAACGACCCAUUUGGCUUUCCAUUGGGAACUGAUGUUAUAAACUGUUGGGCAGAUGUUCUGCAAGUGCGAGUGGGGACUUCCUGGAUUUUAAUCUUCCAUCUGAUAAACGAGGAAGCUCUAACAUCAAAAUGGAUGGAUGAAUCUAGCAGGAGAGCUCCCCAGCAGAUUGUGU